Molecule: ribosomal RNA, 1339 nt
Filed under: uncultured bacterium
Lineage: Bacteria
Description: bacterial SSU rRNA
Rfam family: Bacterial small subunit ribosomal RNA
Source: RNAcentral
GGGCAGCAUGAUUGAAGCUUGCUUCAAUCGAUGGCGACCGGGCGCACGGGUGAGUAACACGUUAUCCAACCUGCCGAUAACUCGGGGAUAGCCUUUCGAAAGAAAGAUUAAUACCCGAUAGCAUAGUAUUUCCGCAUGGUUUCACUAUUAAAGAAUUUCGGUUAUCGAUGGGGAUGCGUUCCAUUAGAUAGUUGGCGGGGUAACGGCCCACCAAGUCAACGAUGGAUAGGGGUUCUGAGAGGAAGGUCCCCCACAUUGGAACUGAGACACGGUCCAAACUCCUACGGGAGGCAGCAGUGAGGAAUAUUGGUCAAUGGACGAGAGUCUGAACCAGCCAAGUAGCGUGAAGGAUGACUGCCCUAUGGGUUGUAAACUUCUUUUAUACGGGAAUAAAGUGGAGUAUGCAUACUCCUUUGUAUGUACCGUAUGAAUAAGGAUCGGCUAACUCCGUGCCAGCAGCCGCGGUAAUACGGAGGAUCCGAGCGUUAUCCGGAUUUAUUGGGUUUAAAGGGAGCGUAGGCGGGUGCUUAAGUCAGUUGUGAAAGUUUGCGGCUCAACCGUAAAAUUGCAGUUGAUACUGGGCGCCUUGAGUGCAGCAUAGGUAGGCGGAAUUCGUGGUGUAGCGGUGAAAUGCUUAGAUAUCACGAAGAACUCCGAUUGCGAAGGCAGCUUACUGGACUGUAACUGACGCUGAUGCUCGAAAGUGUGGGUAUCAAACAGGAUUAGAUACCCUGGUAGUCCACACAGUAAACGAUGAAUACUCGCUGUAGGCGAUACACAGUCAGCGGCCCCCCGAAAGCAUUAAGUAUUCCACCUGGGGAGUACGCCGGCAACGGUGAAACUCAAAGGAAUUGACGGGGGCCCGCACAAGCGGAGGAACAUGUGGUUUAAUUCGAUGAUACGCGAGGAACCUUACCCGGGCUUAAAUUGCAGCGGAAUGUAGUGGAAACAUUACAGCCUUCGGGCCGCUGCGAAGGUGCUGCAUGGUUGUCGUCAGCUCGUGCCGUGAGGUGUCGGCUUAAGUGCCAUAACGAGCGCAACCCUUAUCUAUAGUUACUAUCAGGUCAUGCUGAGGCCUCUAUGGAGACUGCCGUCGUAAGAUGUGAGGAAGGUGGGGAUGACGUCAAAUCAGCACGGCCCUUACGUCCGGGGCUACACACGUGUUACAAUGGGGGGUACAGAAGGCAGCUACCUGGCGACAGGAUGCUAAUCCCAAAAACCUCUCUCAGUUCGGAUUGGAGUCUGCAACCCGACUCCAUGAAGCUGGAUUCGCUAGUAAUCGCGCAUCAGCCACGGCGCGGUGAAUACGUUCCCGGGCCUUGCACACACGCCCGUCAAG